UUCCAGACUCCUACGGGAGGCAGCAGUGAGGAAUAUUGGUCAAUGGCCGCAGGGCUGAACCAGCCAAGUCGCGUGAGGGAUGACGGUCCUAUGGAUUGUAAACCUCUUUUGUCAGGGAGCAAAGGGCGCCACGUGUGGCGUUUUGCGAGUACCUGAAGAAAAAGCAUCGGCUAACUCCGUGCCAGCAGCCGCGGUAAUACGGAGGAUGCGAGCGUUAUCCGGAUUUAUUGGGUUUAAAGGGUGCGCAGGCGGCGAUUUAAGUCCGGGUUAAAUUUUCGGGCCCAACCCCCGACAAGCCGUUGAAACUGGCUUGCUAGAGUGGGCGAGAAGUAUGCGGAAUGCGUGGUGUAGCGGUGAAAUGCAUAGAUAUCACGCAGAACUCCGAUUGCGAAGGCAGCAUACCGGCGCCCAACUGACGCUCAGGCACGAAAGCGUGGGUAUCGAACAGGAUUAGAUACCCCCGUA
RNAcentral lists this ribosomal RNA (465 nucleotides) under uncultured bacterium. RNAcentral's name for it is "bacterial SSU rRNA". It matches the Rfam family "Bacterial small subunit ribosomal RNA", at positions 329 to 792 of the family's 1533-position model. The record is from RNAcentral.